UACGUAGGGGGCAAGCGUUAUCCGGAUUUACUGGGUGUAAAGGGAGCGUAGACGGUUAGGUAAGUCUGAUGUGAAAGCCCGCGGCUCAACCGCGGGACUGCAUUGGAAACUAUUUAACUAGAGUGCAGGAGAGGUAAGUGGAAUUCCUAGUGUAGCGGUGAAAUGCGUAGAUAUUAGGAGGAACACCAGUGGCGAAGGCGGCUUACUGGACUGUAACUGACGUUGAGGCUCGAAAGCGUGGGGAGCAAAC
RNAcentral lists this ribosomal RNA (250 nucleotides) under uncultured bacterium. Its description in RNAcentral is "partial 16S ribosomal RNA". It matches the Rfam family "Bacterial small subunit ribosomal RNA", at positions 524 to 773 of the family's 1533-position model. The record is from RNAcentral.